This 227-nucleotide ribosomal RNA is filed under the name uncultured bacterium. RNAcentral describes it as "partial 16S ribosomal RNA". It matches the Rfam family "Bacterial small subunit ribosomal RNA", at positions 107 to 334 of the family's 1533-position model. The record is from RNAcentral.
UGAGUAACACGUAUCCAACCUGCCGUCUACUCUUGGACAGCCUUCUGAAAGGAAGAUUAAUACAAGAUGGCAUCAUGAGUUCACAUGUUCACAUGAUUAAAGGUAUUCCGGUAGACGAUGGGGAUGCGUUCCAUUAGAUAGUAGGCGGGGUAACGGCCCACCUAGUCUACGAUGGAUAGGGGUUCUGAGAGGAAGGUCCCCCACAUUGGAACUGAGACACGGUCCAA